AAAUGAUUAGGAAAGCAGAUGUUCUUGAUUGUUAUUCUUUGAGGACCCAUGAUGUUUACGUUUGUUACAGUGUUUGUAUUCUUUUAUUUACCCUUUUUGGAGAUGUUAGAUGGAUUAAUAUGUAAAGGAGUUGAUGGAAAUGUCUGUUGUCUUGGUUUCUCGUGGAAUAACAGUACUGCAAUGUGUGAAAAGUGCCCCAUUGGUUCUUUUGGCAAAGACUGCAACACGAAUUGUAGUUACCCUUUCUAUGGAGAAGACUGCCAAUCAAGAUGCAAUUGUUCCAAAGAUAAAUGUCACUUCUCUCGUGGAUGUUUUCAAAGCGUAAAAACU
Magallana angulata is the source of this 330-nucleotide long non-coding RNA. RefSeq lists it as uncharacterized. The transcript has 3 exons. Lineage: Eukaryota; Metazoa; Mollusca; Bivalvia; Ostreida; Ostreidae. The record is from RefSeq and is a predicted model, not a curated record.